CAGCAGUGGGGAAUAUUGGACAAUGGGCGAAAGCCUGAUCUAGCCAUGCCGCUGUGUGUGAAGAAGGUCUUCGGAUUGUAAAGCACUUUAAGUUGGGAGGAAGAACUGUAAGUUAAUACCUUGCAAUCUUGACGUUACCGAAACAAUAAGCCCCGGCUAACUUCGUGACCGCCA
This 174-nucleotide ribosomal RNA is filed under the name uncultured Gammaproteobacteria bacterium. RNAcentral describes it as "partial 16S ribosomal RNA". It matches the Rfam family "Bacterial small subunit ribosomal RNA", at positions 349 to 514 of the family's 1533-position model. The record is from RNAcentral. Lineage: Bacteria; Pseudomonadati; Pseudomonadota; Gammaproteobacteria.